UUAACUAGCAGUGCCCUCGUACUGGCGUAAUUUCUCACUCGUUGCCAUGCAUAUCCUCUUCGACCUGUGCGUAUCUGACUCGAGGAAUAAUAGGGCUCAACUACUUCCAAUAGCAAAACUUCAAGUCCGGUAACUGCAACCCAACCAGGCAUCCAAUUCUGUAAAAGCUCCCAGAUAGCAUCGUGCCAUCACUUGCUUGGACAAGCCAUAAUAAUUCUGGGUUCCUUUAUUCCUGCACAUCUAGGAUUUGUACUCUGCACACUUGAGAGAUCUUGCAUAUCUUACUGGUUACUACGAAGGCCUAUAAAUACCUUGUACCCAUCCGUUUGCAGUUCAUCAACAACACAGCUGCUUAAGAGCUUCUGAACCUUUCCCCAGGGUUAGGACAGAACAGAGCAGAGCAGCAUCAGAAGAAUGGCUUCCCUGAAGGCCGUGAAGCCCGCCGGAAUUGCGAAGGAACCUGCUGCCAAGCUCAGUGAGACGGCGACGAAGCCGGCGGCCGCCAAGGGCGGCGUUAAGAAGGCUGAGCAGAAGCCCCGGGAGCCCAAGAAGAAGGUGAAGAGCAGCAAGCCGGCAGCAGCCAAAAACUAAUAGUGGCCACAGGGAGAGUAUGACGGUCUCUCCAUGUUGUUAUGUUAUGCUAUGGGAUUAUGAAUCCCGUCUGUCCCUUCCUCUCGUCAUCACACCUUAGUCAAGCUGGUCUUGACGGUGUGUGCAGCCCUCGUGUGAUGGAUAUUACCAAUAAGAUGGUACAGUUGUGACAUCCGCUUU
Long non-coding RNA from Oryza brachyantha (malo sina), 771 nucleotides. RefSeq lists it as uncharacterized. Lineage: Eukaryota; Viridiplantae; Streptophyta; Magnoliopsida; Poales; Poaceae. The record is from RefSeq and is a predicted model, not a curated record. The transcript has 2 exons.